RNAcentral lists this ribosomal RNA (415 nucleotides) under uncultured crenarchaeote. Its description in RNAcentral is "partial 16S ribosomal RNA". It matches the Rfam family "Archaeal small subunit ribosomal RNA", at positions 330 to 747 of the family's 1478-position model. The record is from RNAcentral. Lineage: Archaea; Thermoproteati; Thermoproteota.
GCGCAGCAGUCGCGCAACCUCUGCAAUACGCGAAAGCGUGACGGAGCUAUCCCGAGUGCCGUCCGCUGAGGAUGGCUUUUCCCUAGUGUAGAUAGCUGGGGGAAUAAGGAGAGGGCAAGUCUGGUGUCAGCCGCCGCGGUAAUACCAGCUCUCCGAGUGGUGGGGAUGUUUAUUGGGCCUGAAGCAUCCGUAGCUGGCUGAGCAAGUUCUCCGUUAAAUCCAGCGAUUUAAUCGUUGGACUGCGGAGGAUACUGUUCGGCUAGUGUGCGGGAGAGGCCGACGGUAUUCUCGGGGUAGGGGUGAAAUCCUAUAAUCCCGGGAAGACCACCAGUGGCGAAGGCUGUCAGCUAGAACGCGCCCGACGGUGAGGGAUGAAAGCUGGGGGAGCGAACCGGAUUAGAUACCCGCGUAGUCC